Molecule: transfer RNA, 73 nt
Filed under: Zootermopsis nevadensis
Lineage: Eukaryota; Metazoa; Arthropoda; Insecta; Blattodea; Termopsidae
Rfam family: tRNA
About the family: Transfer RNA (tRNA) molecules are approximately 80 nucleotides in length. Their secondary structure includes four short double-helical elements and three loops (D, anti-codon, and T loops).
Source: Rfam by way of RNAcentral
GCCACGGUGGUCUAGCGGUUAGAACGCUGGCCUUGUAAUCCUGGGGUCUCGGGUUCGAUUCCCGAAGGUGCCC